CAUUGUCGCCGCAGGAAUAAUUUGUUUUGAUUGUGGAGCUUUCUCUGACAUGUGCAAAAAUUUACCUGACAUAUGCAAAGGUAAAAUUGGAAGUUCCUUUGGUUCCGAUAAUUUUGAUUGUUUUGGUGUUGCAUCAGAGAAUGGAAGGAGCGUUGAACGAAUUAAAAGAUUUGAAAGAGUUUUACGACCCGGACACAGUGGAUUUAAUGAGAUUUAUCAAGUA
Long non-coding RNA from Xenia sp. Carnegie-2017, 223 nucleotides. RefSeq lists it as uncharacterized. Lineage: Eukaryota; Metazoa; Cnidaria; Anthozoa; Malacalcyonacea; Xeniidae. The record is from RefSeq and is a predicted model, not a curated record. The transcript has 3 exons.